CUGGGCAAUGGCGGGCGCCCCUCCCCCAGCCUCGCUGCCGCCUUGCAGUUUGAUCUCAGACUGCUGUGCUAGCAAUCAGCGAGACUCCGUGGGCGUAGGACCCUCCAAGACAGGUGUGGGAUAUAAUCUCGUGGUGCGCCGUUUUUUAAGCCCGUCGGAAAAGCGCAGUAUUCGGGUGGGAGUGACCCGAUUUUCCAGGUGCCGUCCGUCACCCCUUUCUUUGACUCGGAAAGGGAACUCCCUGACCCCUUGUGCUUCCCAAGUGAGGCAGUGCCUCGCCCUGCUUCGGCUCGUGCACGGUUCGCGCACCCACUGACCUGCGCCCACUGUCUGGCACUCCCUAGUGAGAUGAACCCAGUACCUCAGAUGGAAAUGCAGAAAUCACCAUCUUCUGCGUCGCUCACGCUGGGAGCUGUAGACCGGAGCUGUUCCUAUUCGGCCAUCUUGAAUUGUAGGCAUUUUUAAAAACAGACUCUGGAGAUGAAUCUUUUCUAGUUAUAUACUUUGUAUUACAUUUAUGCACUGUCUGCUGCCAAAGAUCUGAAACCAAUGAUCUCAUAUAUAUGGUACAGUUUUCUAGUUAUUUACAGUGG
This 593-nucleotide long non-coding RNA is filed under the name Homo sapiens (human). Its description in RNAcentral is "PREDICTED lncRNA (TCONS_00036743)". The record is from RNAcentral. Lineage: Eukaryota; Metazoa; Chordata; Mammalia; Primates; Hominidae.